GACGAACGCUGGCGGCGUGCCUAAUACAUGCAAGUAGAACGCUGAAGGAGGAGCUUACUUCUCUGGAUGAGUUGCGAACGGGUGAGUAACGCGUAGGUAACCUGCCUGGUAGCGGGGGAUAACUAUUGGAAACGAUAGCUAAUACCGCAUAAGAGUAGAUGUUGCAUGACAUUUACUUAAAAGGUGCAAUUGCACCACUACCAGAUGGACCUUGGUUGUAUUAGCUAGUUGGUGGGGUAACGGCUUACCAAGGCGACGAUACAUAGCCGACCUGAGAGGGUGAUCGGCCACACUGGGACUGAGACACGGCCCAGACUCCUACGGGAGGCAGCAGUAGGGAAUCUUCGGCAAUGGACGGAAGUCUGACCGAGCAACGCCGCGUGAGUGAAGAAGGUUUUCGGAUCGUAAAGCUCUGUUGUAAGAGAAGAACGAGUGUGAGAGUGGAAAGUUCACACUGUGACGGUAUCUUACCAGAAAGGGACGGCUAACUCCGUGCCAGCAGCCGCGGUAA
This 511-nucleotide ribosomal RNA is filed under the name uncultured bacterium. Its description in RNAcentral is "partial 16S ribosomal RNA". It matches the Rfam family "Bacterial small subunit ribosomal RNA", at positions 28 to 523 of the family's 1533-position model. The record is from RNAcentral.